This 254-nucleotide ribosomal RNA is filed under the name uncultured bacterium. RNAcentral describes it as "partial 16S ribosomal RNA". It matches the Rfam family "Bacterial small subunit ribosomal RNA", at positions 524 to 776 of the family's 1533-position model. The record is from RNAcentral.
UACGGGGGGAGCAAGCGUUGUUCGGAUUUACUGGGCGUAAAGGGCGCGUAGGCGGCCACCGCAAGUCAAUUGUGAAAUCUCCGGGCUUAACUCGGAAAGGUCAACUGAUACUGCGGGGCUAGAGUGCGGAAGGGGCAACUGGAAUUCUCGGUGUAGCGGUGAAAUGCGUAGAUAUCGAGAGGAACACCUGCGGCGAAGGCGGGUUGCUGGGCCGACACUGACGCUGAGGCGCGAAAGCUAGGGGAGCGAACGGG